UUGAAACGGAGGAAGUAUUAUUAUCAGUCGUGUUAUAUUCCUUCUUUGGGCCGAAUUAUAGUAAGGAGAACCUAUUUACUUAUUCUAACUUUAAGUGACCUUUUAUACUAAAACACUAGUCUCUCGUACGGCAAAAUUUGGGAAUAAGAGUAGCCCACCAAGUGUUCGAUAAAAGUCCUCAAACAUGGAAGUUCCCCAGCCACUUGUAGCACUUGUUAAAGGUGGAGCUACUUUCAGCUGCGUCCAUUGUCGCCGUCUCUCUUGCCGCUUCCACCACCAUCAAACUUAUUCAAUCUGCCACUGAUGCAAAAAGGAUAAGAUUGUCUGCAAGCAAGAAAUGACAGAUAGGCUGUCCAGGCUUGAGAUCAAGGAGCUUAAAAGCGGCAUAGGAAGGACUCCAUUUGUCAGUGUCAUGGUGACAACCUACAAGAGCUGUAUCCACCUUCAGAUUGUUGUUGUCAAGGCUUUGGAGUUCAACGCGAUAAGCCCUAGCCCCCUCCAUACGGUGGCACAUAAAUGCUCCGUAAGGGAAUGCAGCCUUGUGACAAGCUAUUGUAGGGUUCCCAAUCUCAACAACUUUCUCUACUCCGGUUAUGAGGUACCUAUUAUAUAUAGAUGGAAUAUAAUCCGAGAUUAUAAUUAGUUACAUGACCUUAAUUACUUGAACACGAUCAAUCUAUUCUAUAGGCUCAUAUAUAAUCCAUCAAUUAUAAUUGCAUACCUUUGGUUAACUUGCAUGGGAGGGGUGACUGUAACACCAAGAACUUUAAGAUCUUCACUUGGAUUUGAGGGAUGGAACUCUGAAGAAACAAAAUCAACCAUAUCUUCUAAAGAAGGAGCACAUGUAUGGUGACCAAAUUUGAGAGGAUCUUCACAACGAGUCAAAGUGGACUGCAUCAAUUUUGCUUCUUUGGAGGCGGUGUUAAUGCCAAAAGUUGAAAGUAUUUGUGGUAAGUUUGAUGAAGUGAAUGGUAAUUUCUGGACUUCAUCUCUUGUCAUGAAGGAUGGUCCGAGGUCGGAUUGACCUAAGUAUUGCAGUUCAUGAAUGGUGCCUGGUUUUAGUAGGUCAUCUUCGCGGAUGAACAUGGAGAAUUGGUGGCAUUGAUACUCCUGGAAAUUUCAUAUUCCAGUAAGCUUUUGCACUUGGAGAAGUUGUAGUAGCGACAUCAGCAGCAACUAGUUGAAGCUAAGAUAUCACGUAGUAAUAAUAUAAUCAAGAUCAUAUAUACGAUAAUAUCAUACUAUUAAAUUAAAUGUAUGCAUGAGCCAAAAAUAAAAUAGAAUAGAGAAGAAGAUGAUGAGCAUGCAUUAAGAUAUAUAUAGACAUUGAAGUUUGUAUAUGAUACCGAGACGGCGAAGAUGAUGAGCAGGAAGAUGCAGUGAUUAUCCAUGGCUGCCAUUAAAGAUUUCUAUGAACUGAAAGAAAAAAAAUGAAAGAGAAAGAGAGAAGUUGUAGGGUAGUGAGGAUUUAUAUGAAGCAUGUAAUACCUCCUAUUUAUAGAGUAACUACGAAGGCCCUUAGAUUUACUUGGGACCCAUUUUAGCAUUUAAUUAGAAUUAGAUAUCAGUAGUUCAGUAUUAUGUAACCCUCAGGGUGGAUUCACAUGGCCUUGAGCUGUGGAUACCCUCAUGAAGUUCUUUAAAUAAUCCUUAGAUUUGAAAGGCAAUUUAUCAUGUAUAAGACUUAGAUUGUUUUUCACAACUUGGAUGUAUAUAUAUAUUUUUUUUUCCUCUCAACUUGUAUUAUUGUUGUUACCUUAAUUAAGUUUGUUUGAACUUAUCCAAGCUAAAUCUUAUAUAUUUUGUCCAAUAUGAUUUUUUCUUUUUGUUGAUUUAAUUUUUUAAACAAAGGUGAAGGACAUUACACAUCUUAAGAUAUUUAAUUUAAACCAAUAAUAA
Molecule: long non-coding RNA, 1899 nt
Organism: Beta vulgaris subsp. vulgaris (sugar beet)
Lineage: Eukaryota; Viridiplantae; Streptophyta; Magnoliopsida; Caryophyllales; Amaranthaceae
Exons: 3
Source: RefSeq, a predicted model, not a curated record